RNAcentral lists this ribosomal RNA (301 nucleotides) under uncultured bacterium. RNAcentral's name for it is "partial 16S ribosomal RNA". It matches the Rfam family "Bacterial small subunit ribosomal RNA", at positions 509 to 809 of the family's 1533-position model. The record is from RNAcentral.
CAGCAGCCGCGGGAAUACGUAGGUGGCGAGCGUUGUCCGGAAUUAUUGGGCGUAAAGGGAGCGCAGGCGGACAUAUAAGUCCAUCUUAAAAGUGCGGGGCUCAACCCCGUGAGGGGAUGGAAACUGUAUGCCUUGAGUGCAGGAGAGGAAAGCGGAAUUCCCAGUGUAGCGGUGAAAUGCGUAGAUAUCGGGAGGAACACCAGUGGCGAAGGCGGCUUUCUGGACUGUAACUGACGCUGAGGCUCGAAAGCCAGGGGAGCGAACGGGAUUAGAGACCCGCGUAGUCCCUGUCUCUUAUACA